CCUACGGGGGGCUGCAGUGGGGAAUAUUGGACAAUGGGCGAAAGCCUGAUCCAGCCAUGCCGCGUGUGUGAAGAAGGCCUUCGGGUUGUAAAGCACUUUCAGUGGGGAAGAAAGCCUUGGGGCUAAUACCCUCGAGGAAGGACAUCACCCACAGAAGAAGCACCGGCUAACUCCGUGCCAGCAGCCGCGGUAAUACGGAGGGUGCGAGCGUUAAUCGGAAUUACUGGGCGUAAAGCGCGCGUAGGCGGUCUGAUAAGCCGGUUGUGAAAGCCCCGGGCUCAACCUGGGAACGGCAUCCGGAACUGUCAGGCUAGAGUGCAGGAGAGGAAGGUAGAAUCCCCGGUGUAGCGGUGAAAUGCGUAGAGAUCGGGAGGAAUACCAGUGGCGAAGGCGGCCUUCUGGACUGACACUGACGCUGAGGUGCGAAAGCGUGGGUAGCAAACAGGAUUAGAUACCCCGGUAGUC
This 465-nucleotide ribosomal RNA is filed under the name Vreelandella stevensii. Its description in RNAcentral is "partial 16S ribosomal RNA". It matches the Rfam family "Bacterial small subunit ribosomal RNA", at positions 338 to 795 of the family's 1533-position model. The record is from RNAcentral. Lineage: Bacteria; Pseudomonadati; Pseudomonadota; Gammaproteobacteria; Oceanospirillales; Halomonadaceae.